Molecule: long non-coding RNA, 1606 nt
Organism: Cornus florida
Lineage: Eukaryota; Viridiplantae; Streptophyta; Magnoliopsida; Cornales; Cornaceae
Exons: 2
Source: RefSeq, a predicted model, not a curated record
UAUAUCUAUUUGUAUCGGUCACUUUCUUCAUUCCGUUCUCACGCCUGUUAACCUUAGACGUGAAUAUGAUGAUCACAUAUGUGACAUGGCAAUUGGUUUUACCUCUGAGAUCUACCUAGGAGUUGACAUAUUGGUAUCAAUUUCAAAAUAAAAUAAUUCGAAUUUAUACAAAAUGUAUGUAACCUCAACUCUCUCUCUCUGGACCGUUCCUUUUCCUUCUCUUUGCAUAGUUUCAUGGUUUCUAUUGAGGGUUCUCUAAUUGCAGAGGUUUCUCGAUUUAGUUGGGUUUUGGUGUGCUUGAUCUCGGGUUAUGGUCGGUUGAUUGCGGAUCUCAGUUGUCUUAAGUGUUUUUAUCUCUUGGGAGUGGAGUACGGGUGUGUUCUUGGUAUCUGUUGUUGGCUUGUGGGUUUUCCAAGCGUCUUAUCCUUGGAAUUCUUGGUUUACUUUAUAUUGGUAGUUGUCAUGAUUCUGGAUCCUCUUUAUCGAUCCAUCUGUUCCUGAUCCAGAUUGGUUUGUAAGGGUGUAUUGUUGGCGGUUUGUUGUGCUUGAGGCAAGUACAGAUCAAGUAAGUUGGGUUUUGCUGAAUCUCGGUUUGUUGCUUGUUGGCGGGUCAAUCUGAUUUGUUGCCUUUAUUGUUCCAGUUUCUGUGCUUCCGUGGUUAGAUUCAGAGUCUGCAUCGCAAGCUCUACAGUGGCCGGCGGGUACUCCGCCAUCGUCGGGUAUUGUAGUUGGGCGCAAAUUCCUAAAUUUGGGCGAAGAGUCUAGGAUUGGACGCCCUAGGGCUGUUCAAAAGGUGGGCCGGGGUUCUCAUCCUUCUUGGGACUCUGCUACGAGCCCACUUUUGGAUGAGGCUGAUGUCUUUCGACAUGGGCUGUUUCAUAAUGCGGAUAGGCCUGAAGUAUUAGAUGACCCGAUUCAACCGGAUUAUUUUGGGGUGCUAUCCGUCAGAUUAGAGAAGAGAGAUAUCCUAUACCAACAACUGAUUGGGGUGCCGACGUACAACAACCAUCUCAAGUAGCAGUGCUAAUCACGCUCGAGCACGAAGGUCUUCGGUUUAGCCUGCAGCUUCAAUUGACAGGCCUAUGAGAGGUGAAUCAAGUUCUAUUGGGCAAAUAGGAAAUACAAGAAACCGUAUGGCUGACAAAUUGAGUAUUUUAGUUUGAAACUGUCAAGGUUUGGGGAAUCCUUUGACAGUUCAACAGUUGAAGAAAAUCUAGAUGACCCAUCGAAUGAAGGGUUUCAUACUAAAUAUUUAGGGAUACCGGCGAUAAUUGGUCGAUCGAAAUUUGAUGUCUUCCAAUUUUUGCUUCAUCGAAUGAAGGAAAGUCUAGCCUCUUGGAGGCAACAUACUCUAUCAGAGAGGAAGGUACAUUGAGCUAAGGAAGUGAGCAAGGGAGCACUCUAAGCAAAGAGCUAAGCGAAGAAAUCAUAAAAAGCUAAAAUCUAAUUUUUUUUUUGUAAAGCUUAAGUUGAAAAAUAAUUUGAAGUGCUUAAGGACCCUUUGUGAGCUCUUCCUAAACUCAAUCUCUAGUUAAAUCGUCGCCCCGGUGGAGGCUUAUUUUUCAAUUCAUAGAUAAAUCGUGAGCCAGAGUGGAGGCAAUUUUAA